CCGCCUAAGGUGGGACAGAUGAUUGGGGUGAAGUCGUAACAAGGUAGCCGUAGGAGAACCUGCGGCUGGAUCACCUCCUUUCUAAGGAAUAAAUU
This 95-nucleotide ribosomal RNA is filed under the name Ligilactobacillus ruminis. RNAcentral describes it as "partial 16S ribosomal RNA". The stretch from base 1 to 81 matches the Rfam family "Bacterial small subunit ribosomal RNA", at positions 1453 to 1533 of the family's 1533-position model. The record is from RNAcentral. Lineage: Bacteria; Bacillati; Bacillota; Bacilli; Lactobacillales; Lactobacillaceae.